This 421-nucleotide long non-coding RNA is filed under the name Rattus norvegicus (Norway rat). RNAcentral describes it as "long non-coding RNA NONRATT016656". The record is from RNAcentral. Lineage: Eukaryota; Metazoa; Chordata; Mammalia; Rodentia; Muridae.
AUGCAGCGUGGGGUCGGGGAAGGACGAAGGUGUGGGAUCUGGGGAGCCCGGACAGUCGGUGUGGAGGGAUCACAGAGGUGAACGCGGGAGAGCUGGAGGACCAAACCCUUCGCCCAUGGGCGGGAGAGCCUGGAGAAAGGAAUCUUCGUUCGCUUGAGUCGGGUCCUUAAGCGGGACCUGUGCGACAGCCGACAGCCGCGCCCGGCGAGGUGUGUCUGUCCUUCUCUCCCCGCCCCUCAGUUUCCCUCCCGCAAGCCCGACUUCAGCCCUCUGGCCUCCAGGAGUCCAGGCCUCUACAUGUUGUGCUGGGGAAUGAAGCCUGCGACUUGGACUCCAUGGUGUCUGCCCUUGCCCUGGCCUUCUACCUAACAAAGACAUCUGAAGCAGAAGACAUCUUUAUACCAGUUUUAAAUAUAAAGCG